This 1346-nucleotide ribosomal RNA is filed under the name uncultured bacterium. Its description in RNAcentral is "bacterial SSU rRNA". It matches the Rfam family "Bacterial small subunit ribosomal RNA", at positions 28 to 1381 of the family's 1533-position model. The record is from RNAcentral.
GACGAACGCUGGCGGCGUGCUUAACACAUGCAAGUCGAACGGAAAGGCCCUGCUUUUGUGGGGUGCUCGAGUGGCGAACGGGUGAGUAACACGUGAGUAACCUGCCCUUGACUUUGGGAUAACUUCAGGAAACUGGGGCUAAUACCGGAUAGGAGCUCCUGCUGCAUGGUGGGGGUUGGAAAGUUUCGGCGGCUGGGGAUGGACUCGCGGCUUAUCAGCUUGUUGGUGGGGUAGUGGCUUACCAAGGCUUUGACGGGUAGCCGGCCUGAGAGGGUGACCGGCCACAUUGGGACUGAGAUACGGCCCAGACUCCUACGGGAGGCAGCAGUGGGGAAUAUUGCACAAUGGGCGGAAGCCUGAUGCAGCAACGCCGCGUGCGGGAUGACGGCCUUCGGGUUGUAAACCGCUUUCGCCUGUGACGAAGCGUGAGUGACGGUAAUGGGUAAAGAAGCACCGGCUAACUACGUGCCAGCAGCCGCGGUGAUACGUAGGGUGCGAGCGUUGUCCGGAUUUAUUGGGCGUAAAGGGCUCGUAGGUGGUUGAUCGCGUCGGAAGUGUAAUCUUGGGGCUUAACCCUGAGCGUGCUUUCGAUACGGGUUGACUUGAGGAAGGUAGGGGAGAAUGGAAUUCCUGGUGGAGCGGUGGAAUGCGCAGAUAUCAGGAGGAACACCAGUGGCGAAGGCGGUUCUCUGGGCCUUUCCUGACGCUGAGGAGCGAAAGCGUGGGGAGCGAACAGGCUUAGAUACCCUGGUAGUCCACGCUGUAAACGGUGGGUACUAGGUGUGGGGUCCAUUCCACGGGUUCCGUGCCGUAGCUAACGCUUUAAGUACCCCGCCUGGGGAGUACGGCCGCAAGGCUAAAACUCAAAGGAAUUGACGGGGCCCCGCACAAGCGGCGGAGCAUGCGGAUUAAUUCGAUGCAACGCGUAGAACCUUACCUGGGUUUGACAUGGAUCGGGAGCACUCAGAGAUGGGUGUGCCUCUUUUGGGGUCGGUUCACAGGUGGUGCAUGGCUGUCGUCAGCUCGUGUCGUGAGAUGUUGGGUUAAGUCCCGCAACGAGCGCAACCCUUGUUCACUGUUGCCAGCACGUUAUGGUGGGGACUCAGUGGAGACCGCCGGGGCCAACUCGGAGGAAGGUGGGGAUGACGUCAAGUCAUCAUGCCCCUUAUGUCCAGGGCUUCACGCAUGCUACAAUGGCUGGUACAGAGAGUGGCGAGCCUGUGAGGGUGAGCGAAUCUCGGAAAGCCGGUCUCAGUUCGGAUUGGGGUCUGCAACUCGACCUCAUGAAGUCGGAGUCGCUAGUAAUCGCAGAUCAGCAACGCUGCGGUGAAUACGUUCCCGGGGCU